RNAcentral lists this ribosomal RNA (489 nucleotides) under uncultured bacterium. RNAcentral describes it as "bacterial SSU rRNA". It matches the Rfam family "Bacterial small subunit ribosomal RNA", at positions 28 to 526 of the family's 1533-position model. The record is from RNAcentral.
GACGAACGCUGGCGGCGUGCCUAACACAUGCAAGUCGAACGAGGUCCAUCCCGUGGCAACACGGGUGAAGACCUAGUGGCGAACGGGUGAGUAACACGUGAGGAACCUGCCCCGAAGACCGGGAUAACCCUCCGAAAGGAGAGCUAAUACCGGAUGUCCCCACCUGGCCGCAUGACCGGGUGAGGAAAUGGAUUCCGCUUCGGGAGGGCCUCGCGGCCUAUCAGCGAGUUGGUGGGGUAACGGCCCACCAAGGCAUCGACGGGUAGCUGGUCUGCGAGGACGAUCAGCCACACUGGGACUGAGACACGGCCCAGACUCCUACGGGAGGCAGCAGUGGGGAAUCUUGCGCAAUGGGCGAAAGCCUGACGCAGCAACGCCGCGUGGGGGAUGAAGGCUCUCGGGUUGUAAACCCCUUUCAGCAGGGACGAAUCAAGACGGUACCUGCAGAAGAAGCCCCGGCUAACUACGUGCCAGCAGCCGCGGUAAAAC